GGAUCGGGAGGCCAUCGGUCGGGAGAUGGUCGAGCAUGGAUCCGAACCCCCUGUUUCGAAAAGGGCGCAGUGCCGGGGCCCGGCGGCACGUGUU
This is a regulatory RNA element of 94 nucleotides. It matches the Rfam family "Rhodo-rpoB RNA". The record is from Rfam.